RNAcentral lists this ribosomal RNA (2878 nucleotides) under Burkholderia multivorans. RNAcentral describes it as "bacterial LSU rRNA". It matches the Rfam family "Bacterial large subunit ribosomal RNA". Lineage: Bacteria; Pseudomonadati; Pseudomonadota; Betaproteobacteria; Burkholderiales; Burkholderiaceae. The record is from RNAcentral.
UCAAGCGAACAAGUGCAUGUGGUGGAUGCCUUGGCGAUCACAGGCGAUGAAGGACGCGGUAGCCUGCGAAAAGCCCCGGGGAGCUGGCAAACAAGCUUUGAUCCGGGGAUGUCCGAAUGGGGAAACCCACUCCGUAUGGAGUAUCCAUGACUGAAUACAUAGGUCAUGUGAAGCGAACGCGGUGAACUGAAACAUCUAAGUAACCGCAGGAAAAGAAAUCAACCGAGAUUCCCAAAGUAGUGGCGAGCGAAAUGGGAUGAGCCUUGUACUCUUUAUUUGUAUUGUUAGCCGAACGCUCUGGAAAGUGCGGCCAUAGCAGGUGAUAGCCCUGUAGGCGAAAACAGUAUGAAAGAACUAGGUGUACGACAAGUAGGGCGGGACACGUGAAAUCCUGUCUGAAGAUGGGGGGACCAUCCUCCAAGGCUAAAUACUCGUGAUCGACCGAUAGUGAACCAGUACCGUGAGGGAAAGGCGAAAAGAACCCCGGGAGGGGAGUGAAAUAGAUCCUGAAACCGCAUGCAUACAAACAGUCGGAGCCUCGUAAGGGGUGACGGCGUACCUUUUGUAUAAUGGGUCAGCGACUUACGUUCAGUAGCAAGCUUAACCGUAUAGGGCAGGCGUAGCGAAAGCGAGUCCGAAUAGGGCGUUCAGUUGCUGGGCGUAGACCCGAAACCAGGUGAUCUAUCCAUGGCCAGGAUGAAGGUGCGGUAACACGUACUGGAGGUCCGAACCCACUAACGUUGAAAAGUUAGGGGAUGAGCUGUGGAUAGGGGUGAAAGGCUAAACAAACCUGGAAAUAGCUGGUUCUCUCCGAAAACUAUUUAGGUAGUGCCUCGUGUCUCACCUUCGGGGGUAGAGCACUGUCAUGGUUGGGGGGUCUAUUGCAGAUUACCCCGCCAUAGCAAACUCCGAAUACCGAAGAGUGCAAUCACGGGAGACAGACAUCGGGUGCUAACGUCCGGUGUCAAGAGGGAAACAACCCAGACCGCCAGCUAAGGUCCCCAAAUAUGGCUAAGUGGGAAACGAAGUGGGAAGGCUAAAACAGUCAGGAGGUUGGCUUAGAAGCAGCCACCCUUUAAAGAAAGCGUAAUAGCUCACUGAUCGAGUCGUCCUGCGCGGAAGAUGUAACGGGGCUAAGCCAUAUACCGAAGCUGCGGAUGCGUGCUUGCACGCAUGGUAGGAGAGCGUUCCGUAAGCCUGCGAAGGUGCCUUGUAAAGGGUGCUGGAGGUAUCGGAAGUGCGAAUGCUGACAUGAGUAGCGAUAAAGGGGGGUGAAAGGCCCCCUCGCCGUAAGCCCAAGGUUUCCUACGCAACGUUCAUCGGCGUAGGGUGAGUCGGCCCCUAAGGCGAGGCAGAAAUGCGUAGCUGAUGGGAAGCAGGUCAAUAUUCCUGCACCGUCGUUAGAUGCGAUGGGGGGACGGAUCGCGGAAGGUUGUCCGGGUGUUGGACGUCCCGGUCGCUGCAUUGGAGAAGGCGCUUAGGCAAAUCCGGGCGCAGGAUUCAAGGGUGUGGCGCGAGCGACUUCGGUCGCGAAGCAAUUGGAAGUGGUUCCAAGAAAAGCCUCUAAGCUUCAGUCUAACGAUGACCGUACCGCAAACCGACACAGGUGGGCGAGAUGAGUAUUCUAAGGCGCUUGAGAGAACUCGGGAGAAGGAACUCGGCAAAUUGGUACCGUAACUUCGGGAUAAGGUACGCCCUUGUAGCUUGACCAGCCUGCGCUGGAAGGGUGAAGGGGUUGCAAUAAACUGGUGGCUGCGACUGUUUAAUAAAAACACAGCACUCUGCAAACACGAAAGUGGACGUAUAGGGUGUGACGCCUGCCCGGUGCCGGAAGAUUAAAUGAUGGGGUGCAAGCUCUUGAUUGAAGUCCCGGUAAACGGCGGCCGUAACUAUAACGGUCCUAAGGUAGCGAAAUUCCUUGUCGGGUAAGUUCCGACCUGCACGAAUGGCGUAACGAUGGCCACACUGUCUCCUCCCGAGACUCAGCGAAGUUGAAGUGUUUGUGAUGAUGCAAUCUACCCGCGGCUAGACGGAAAGACCCCAUGAACCUUUACUGUAGCUUUGCAUUGGACUUUGAACCGAUCUGUGUAGGAUAGGUGGGAGGCUAUGAAACCGGAACGCUAGUUUCGGUGGAGCCGUCCUUGAAAUACCACCCUGGUUUGUUUGAGGUUCUAACCUUGGUCCGUGAUCCGGAUCGGGGACAGUGCAUGGUAGGCAGUUUGACUGGGGCGGUCUCCUCCCAAAGGGUAACGGAGGAGUACGAAGGUACGCUAGGUACGGUCGGAAAUCGUGCUGAUAGUGCAAUGGCAUAAGCGUGCUUAACUGCGAGACCGACAAGUCGAGCAGGUGCGAAAGCAGGUCAUAGUGAUCCGGUGGUUCUGUAUGGAAGGGCCAUCGCUCAACGGAUAAAAGGUACUCUGGGGAUAACAGGCUGAUACCGCCCAAGAGUUCAUAUCGACGGCGGUGUUUGGCACCUCGAUGUCGGCUCAUCUCAUCCUGGGGCUGUAGCCGGUCCCAAGGGUAUGGCUGUUCGCCAUUUAAAGAGGUACGUGAGCUGGGUUUAAAACGUCGUGAGACAGUUUGGUCCCUAUCUGCCGUGGGCGUUGGAUAUUUGAAGGGGGCUGCUCCUAGUACGAGAGGACCGGAGUGGACGAACCUCUGGUGUACCGGUUGUGACGCCAGUCGCAUCGCCGGGUAGCUAUGUUCGGAAGAGAUAACCGCUGAAAGCAUCUAAGCGGGAAACUCGCCUUAAGAUGAGAUAUCCCUGGAGGCUUGACCUCCUUGAAGGGUCGUUCGAGACCAGGACGUUGAUAGGUCGGGUGUGUAAGCGCAGUAAUGCGUUCAGCUAACCGAUACUAAUUGCCCGUAAGGCUUGAUC